Molecule: transfer RNA, 71 nt
Filed under: Danio rerio (zebrafish)
Lineage: Eukaryota; Metazoa; Chordata; Actinopteri; Cypriniformes; Danionidae
Rfam family: tRNA
About the family: Transfer RNA (tRNA) molecules are approximately 80 nucleotides in length.
Source: Rfam by way of RNAcentral
GCAUCGGUGGUUCAGUGGUAGAAUUCUUGCCUGCCACGCGGGAGACCUGGGUCAGAUUCCCGGCCAAUGCA